Molecule: ribosomal RNA, 253 nt
Filed under: uncultured bacterium
Lineage: Bacteria
Description: partial 16S ribosomal RNA
Rfam family: Bacterial small subunit ribosomal RNA
Source: RNAcentral
UACAGAGGUCUCAAGCGUUGUUCGGAUUCAUUGGGCGUAAAGGGUGCGUAGGCGGCGCGGUAAGUCGGGUGUGAAAUCUCGGAGCUUAACUCCGAAACUGCAUUCGAUACUGCCGUGCUUGAGGACUGGAGAGGAGACUGGAAUUUACGGUGUAGCGGUGAAAUGCGUAGAUAUUAGGAAGAACACCAGUGGCGAAGGCGGCUCACUGGCCCGGUACUGACGCUGAGGCGCGAAAGCGUGGGGAGCAAACAGG